UUUGAAGUUUGAUCCUGGCUCCAGGACGACCGCGGGCGCCAUGCCUAAUACAUGCAAGUCGAACGCUGAAGCACUCUGCUUGCAGAGUGCGGAUGAGUGGCGAACGGGUGAGUAACACGUGGGAAUUCUGCCUAGGAGUGGGGGAUAACAUUCGGAAACGGAUGCUAAUACCGCAUAUCUUUUUGAACCGCAUGGUUCUUAAACGAAAGACGGCUUCGGCUGUCGCUCUUAGAUGAUCCCGCGGCGUAUUAGUUAGUUGGUGGGGUAAAGGCCUACCAAGACCAUGAUACGUAGCCGACCUGAGAGGGUGAUCGGCCACACUGGGACUGAGACACGGCCCAGACUCCUACGGGAGGCAGCAGUAGGGAAUCUUCCACAAUGGGUGAAAACCUGAUGGAGCAAUGCCGCGUGAAUGAAGAAGGUCUUCGGAUCGUAAAGUUCUGUUAUUAGAGGAGAACAAGUCAAGGAGUAACUGUCUUGACUUUGACGGUACCUAACCAGAAAGUCACGGCUAACUACGUGCCAGCAGCCGCGGUAAUACGUAGGUGACAAGCGUUGUCCGGAAUUAUUGGGCGUAAAGGGAGCGCAGGCGGUUGGAAUAGUCUGAUGUGAAAGCCCACGGCUUAACCGUGGAAGGUCAUUGGAAACUGUCCAACUUGAAUACAGAAGAGGUAAGUGGAAUUCCAAGUGUAGCGGUGAAAUGCGUAGAUAUUUGGAGGAACACCAGUGGCGAAGGCGACUUACUGGUCUGUAAUUGACGCUGAGGCUCGAAAGCGUGGGUAGCGAACAGGAUUAGAUACCCUGGUAGUCCACGCCGUAAACGAUGAGUGCUAAGUGUUGGAGGGUUUCCGCCCUUCAGUGCUGGAGUUAACGCAUUAAG
RNAcentral lists this ribosomal RNA (880 nucleotides) under uncultured bacterium. RNAcentral describes it as "bacterial SSU rRNA". It matches the Rfam family "Bacterial small subunit ribosomal RNA", at positions 1 to 864 of the family's 1533-position model. The record is from RNAcentral.